RNAcentral lists this ribosomal RNA (257 nucleotides) under uncultured bacterium. Its description in RNAcentral is "partial 16S ribosomal RNA". It matches the Rfam family "Bacterial small subunit ribosomal RNA", at positions 524 to 776 of the family's 1533-position model. The record is from RNAcentral.
UACAGAGACCUCAAGCGUUAUCCGGAAUCAUUGGGCGUAAAGCGUACCGAUAGGUGGUUGAAAUAGUCUUGGGUAAAAGCCAGAAGCUCAACUUCUGAGUUUGCUUAAGAUACUUUUCGACUAGAGGGGCAAAGAGGUGCUUGGAACGAAUGGUGUAGUAGUGAAAUGCGUUGAUAUCAUUCGGAACACCGAAAGCGAAGGCAGAGCACUGGGUGCCACCUGACACUGCUAGGACGAAAGCGUGGGUAGCGAAUGGG